AUAGAUUUGAUUGUCACUGAAUUGUCACUGAAUUGUCACUGAAUCUCAACCGAAGUGAUUGACUCUUGUGAUGGCUUUUUGGCAUAUUUUGGUCUUUUCUUUGGUGUUUUGCACCGAUGACUAUCAUUACAGACAUUAGACGACGUUUUUCCGAAGAUAAAAAUAAGUCAAUAAAUAAUCACAAAUCAAUGGAAA
Molecule: long non-coding RNA, 195 nt
Organism: Oppia nitens
Lineage: Eukaryota; Metazoa; Arthropoda; Arachnida; Sarcoptiformes; Oppiidae
Exons: 3
Source: RefSeq, a predicted model, not a curated record